AGAAUCAACGCUGGCGGCGUGCCUCAGACAUGCAAGUCGAACGCGAAAGGCCCCUUCGGGGGCCGAGUAGAGUGGCGCACGGGUGAGUAACACGUGGGUAAUUUGCCUUCGGGUGGGGAAUAACAGCCGGAAACGGCUGCUAAUACCGCAUAAUGCAGCGGCAUCUAUGAUGACAGUUGUUAAAGCGGGGGAUCGCAAGACCUCGCGCCUGAAGAGAAGCCCGCGGCGGAUUAGCUAGUUGGUAGGGUAAUGGCCUACCAAGGCGACGAU
Molecule: ribosomal RNA, 270 nt
Filed under: uncultured soil bacterium
Lineage: Bacteria
Description: partial 16S ribosomal RNA
Rfam family: Bacterial small subunit ribosomal RNA
Source: RNAcentral